CUUAGUAAUUUUUCUUUUCCUUAUCACCAAAUCACACUCACAUUUGAAUACCCUCACUUUCGCCAUCUGAUCAGAAAAAAGUUUCACCCCUCACCUUCGCAAAUCACCUUCGAAUUAAUUCUUCAAAACCCUAACCCUAACACACCCACACACUCACACUCAUUCUCACCAUCACUCACCACCCCCACCACGCACCCUUUCACACACACACACCCAGAUCCGAGAGAAAGAGUGAACCAGAGGGAGGAGAGGAGGACACGGAGAUGAGAGAGCGCGAUCGAGAGAAUGGAGAGUGAGAGGGGGUCACCGCCGCAACGUCGCUGCAGCCGCCGCCAUUGCCGUCGCAGAGCAGGGAGCCCGGAGGGGAGAAAGAGACGAUUUGCAGACAAGAUGGAGAGAGAGGACGAAGAUGCGAUGCAAGAGAGGAGGCUGUUCCGCCGUGCACUCUCGUCGCUCCUGGGGUCGAUUGAAGCCGCCGCCGCAACUAGGGCUUGCCGUGCUCCUGGGGUCGAUCUCUGCGCUUCUCAUCGUUGUCUCUGUGCUCACGUCGUCGAUUAGAAAGGGAGCUCAAAGAGUUAGGUGUGACACUUCCAAAGGACGCAUUCGAACUGAUUUUUGUUUUCCUCCAAGAGUGGGACAAACUCCACUUUUGCCCAAAAUUUCAGCCACGAGGCUGCUGGACAUGUAAUUUUGAAUCUUGGCAAAUAGACAUUCUGCACAUAGGAAGCUGCAAUACAUAUCAAAGUUAGAGAGAAGUGUAACUUCAUUUCAGGAUAAUAUUGAGGAUGAUAAUAAAGAUUAAGCUGAUUAUUAUUGUGGUUUAUUGGCUAAGAUAGAGUAGUGUUAGGAAUGGAUACAUGUAUGGUUGACUAAUGCCUUUUAUUAGAAGAUACUUAUGUAAGAUAUAAUAUUUUAGUUUUUCGUAGAGUAUUAGUAGUAAAUUCUAAAUGUAUCAUGAUUAUUUUGGUAUGACUAUGCUUACUUUAGUAUGAGAUGUAUGAAUAUUC
This is an RNA transcript of Arachis stenosperma, 1007 nucleotides long. RefSeq lists it as uncharacterized. The record is from RefSeq and is a predicted model, not a curated record. NCBI's taxonomy places the organism in Eukaryota, Viridiplantae, Streptophyta, Magnoliopsida, Fabales, Fabaceae. The transcript has 5 exons.